AGAGUUUGAUCAUGGCUCAGAUUGAACGCUGGCGGCAUGCCUUACACAUGCAAGUCGAACGGCAGCACGGGUGCUUGCACCUGGUGGCGAGUGGCGAACGGGUGAGUAAUACAUCGGAACGUACCUUAUCGUGGGGGAUAACGCAGCGAAAGCUGUGCUAAUACCGCAUACGCCCUGAGGGGGAAAGCGGGGGAUCGAAAGACCUCGCGCGAUUAGAGCGGCCGAUGCCUGAUUAGCUUGUUGGUGGGGUAAAAGCCCACCAAGGCGACGAUCAGUAGCUGGUCUGAGAGGACGAUCAGCCACACUGGGACUGAGACACGGCCCAGACUCCUACGGGAGGCAGCAGUGGGGAAUUUUGGACAAUGGGGGAAACCCUGAUCCAGCAAUGCCGCGUGAGUGAAGAAGGCCUUCGGGUUGUAAAGCUCUUUUGUCAGGGAAGAAACACCGGCUCUAACACAGUCCGGGAAUGACGGUACCUGAAGAAUAAGCACCGGCUAACUACGUGCCAGCAGCCGCGGUAAUACGUAGGGUGCGAGCGUUAAUCGGAAUUACUGGGCGUAAAGCGUGCGCAGGCGGUUAUACAAGACAGGCGUGAAAUCCCCGGGCUUAACCUGGGAAUGGCGCCUGUGACUGUAUAGCUAGAGUGUGUCAGAGGGGGGUAGAAUUCCACGUGUAGCAGUGAAAUGCGUAGAUAUGUGGAGGAAUACCAAUGGCGAAGGCAGCCCCCUGGGAUAACACUGACGCUCAUGCACGAAAGCGUGGGGAGCAAACAGGAUUAGAUACCCUGGUAGUCCACGCCCUAAACGAUGCUGACUAGUUGUUCGGGAUUUACAUCCUGAGUAACGUAGCUAACGCGUGAAGUCAGCCGCCUGGGGAGUACGGUCGCAAGAUUAAAACUCAAAGGA
Molecule: ribosomal RNA, 905 nt
Filed under: uncultured bacterium
Lineage: Bacteria
Description: bacterial SSU rRNA
Rfam family: Bacterial small subunit ribosomal RNA
Source: RNAcentral